RNAcentral lists this ribosomal RNA (387 nucleotides) under uncultured bacterium. RNAcentral's name for it is "bacterial SSU rRNA". It matches the Rfam family "Archaeal small subunit ribosomal RNA", at positions 339 to 726 of the family's 1478-position model. The record is from RNAcentral.
GCGCGAAAACUUUACAAUGCUGGCAACAGCGAUAAGGGAACCUCGAGUGCCAGGUUACAAAUCUGGCUGUCGAGAUGCCUAAAAAGCAUUUCAUAGCAAGGGCAGGGCAAGACCGGUGCCAGCCGCCGCGGUAACACCGGCGGCUCGAGUGGUAACCGUUAUUAUUGGGUCUAAAGGGUCUGUAGCCGGCCGGAUAAGUCUCUUGAGAAAUCUGGCAGCUUAACUGUCAGGCUUUCAGGAGAUACUGUCUGGCUCGAGGCCGGGAGAGGUGAGAGGUACUUCAGGGGUAGGGGUGAAAUCUUGUAAACCUUGAAGGACCACCAGUGGCGAAGGCGUCUCACCAGAACGGACCUGACGGCAAGGGACGAAAGCUAGGGGCACGAACCG